Molecule: ribosomal RNA, 254 nt
Filed under: uncultured bacterium
Lineage: Bacteria
Description: partial 16S ribosomal RNA
Rfam family: Bacterial small subunit ribosomal RNA
Source: RNAcentral
GACGGAGGAUGCAAGCGUUAUCCGGAAUGAUUGGGCGUAAAGCGUCCGCAGGUGGCAGUUCAAGUCUGCUGUCAAAGACCGGGGCUUAACUUCGGAAAGGCAGUGGAAACUGAACAGCUAGAGUAUGGUAGGGGCAGAGGGAAUUCCUGGUGUAGCGGGUGAAAUGCGUAGAGAUCAGGAAGAACAUCGGUGGCGAAGGCGCUCUGCUGGACCAUAACUGACACUCAGGGACGAAAGCUAGGGGAGCGAAUGGG